Panthera uncia (snow leopard) is the source of this 633-nucleotide non-coding RNA. The record is from the annotation of a RefSeq genome assembly. Lineage: Eukaryota; Metazoa; Chordata; Mammalia; Carnivora; Felidae.
GCCAUGGGGCCCAGGCUCCUCUGUGCUGUGGCCUUUUGUUUCCUGGGAGUCAGCUUUGUGGACACACAAGGAACCCAAACUCCAAGAUAUCUCAUCAAGAAAGUGGGAACGAAAGUUUUGAUGGAAUGUUUGCAGAAUAUGGACCACGAAAGAACGUACUGGUAUCGACAAGACCCAGGUCUGGGGCUGCAGCUCCUCCAUCGGUCGUAUAAUAUUGACAGUACUGAGAAAGGAGAUGCCCCUGACGGGUACAGGUUCUCCAGGAAGAAGAAGAACGCCUUCUUCCUGACCCUGGAGUCUGCCAGCACCAACCAGACGUCUGUGUACCUCUGUGCCAGCAGUAAAUCCACAGUGCCUCACAGCCACAUCCUCUCUGCUCAGAAAGGGCAGAUAUCAGGGGGAAGUGACCCCAACUCAGGGCUGAGCUGCACUGGUUCCCAUGGCACAUUCGUGCCAAUUAGAAGUAAGGCAGCCUCUAAGGGGAAGCAAGGCCAUAGACACGCAUCUUGGCUAGGAGAGCGUGGAUGUUUUUCAGGCCCCACUCAUCACCGCUUCCCAAGUCAGGGGCCCUUCUGAACUUACUUAACCCGCCCCACCGUAUGUGUCAUCCCCAACCUAAAUUCAUGAGACCCC